RNAcentral lists this ribosomal RNA (480 nucleotides) under uncultured Pseudonocardia sp. RNAcentral's name for it is "bacterial SSU rRNA". It matches the Rfam family "Bacterial small subunit ribosomal RNA", at positions 8 to 507 of the family's 1533-position model. Lineage: Bacteria; Bacillati; Actinomycetota; Actinomycetes; Pseudonocardiales; Pseudonocardiaceae. The record is from RNAcentral.
AGAGUUUGAUCCUGGCUCAGGACGAACGCUGGCGGCGUGCUUAACACAUGCAAGUCGAGCGCUGAAGCCUUCGGGUGGAUGAGCGGCGAACGGGUGAGUAACACGUGGGUGACCUGCCCCUCACUCUGGGAUAAGCCUGGGAAACUGGGUCUAAUACCGGAUAUGACCUUCGGCCGCAUGGUUGUUGGUGGAAAGUUUUUUCGGUGAGGGAUGGGCCCGCGGCCUAUCAGCUUGUUGGUGGGGUGAUGGCCUACCAAGGCGACGACGGGUAGCCAGCCUGAGAGGGCGACCGGCCACACUGGGACUGAGACACGGCCCAGACUCCUACGGGAGGCAGCAGUGGGGAAUAUUGCGCAAUGGGCGAAAGCCUGACGCAGCGACGCCGCGUGGGGGAUGACGGCCUUCGGGUUGUAAACCUCUUUCGCCAGGGACGAAGCUAACGUGACGGUACCUGGAUAAGAAGCACCGGCCAACUACGUG